CAGUAGCCGCGGUAAUACGAAGGGUGCAAGCGUUAAUCGGAAUUACUGGGCGUAAAGCGCGCGUAGGUGGUUUGGUAAGAUGGAUGUGAAAUCCCCGGGCUCAACCUGGGAACUGCAUCCAUAACUGCCUGACUAGAGUACGGUAGAGGGUGGUGGAAUUUCCUGUGUAGCGGUGAAAUGCGUAGAUAUAGGAAGGAACACCAGUGGCGAAGGCGACCACCUGGACUGAUACUGACACUGAGGUGCGAAAGCGUGGGGAGCAAACAGGAUUAGAUACCCGAGUAGUCCCUGUCUCUUAUAA
Molecule: ribosomal RNA, 301 nt
Filed under: uncultured bacterium
Lineage: Bacteria
Description: partial 16S ribosomal RNA
Rfam family: Bacterial small subunit ribosomal RNA
Source: RNAcentral